UUCCAGACUCCUACGGGAGGCAGCAGUGGGGAAUAUUGGGCAAUGGGCGCAAGCCUGACCCAGCAACGCCGCGUGAAGGAAGAAGGCUUUCGGGUUGUAAACUUCUUUUGACAGGGAAGAGUAGAAGACGGUACCUGUCGAAUAAGCCACGGCUAACUCCGUGCCAGCAGCCGCGGUAAUACGGGGGGUGCAAGCGUUGUCCGGAAUCAUUGGGCGUAAAGAGUUCGUAGGCGGCACGUAAAGUCUGGUGUUAAAGGCAGAGGCUCAACUUCUGUACGGCACUGGAUACUUGCGAGCUAGAAUGCGGUAGAGGUAAAGGGAAUUCCUGGUGUAGCGGUGAAAUGCUUAGAUAUCAGGAGGAACAUCGGUGGCGUAAGCGCUUUACUGGGCCGUAAUUGACGCUGAGGAACGAAAGCCAGGGUAGCAAAUGGGAUUAGAUACCCCAGUA
RNAcentral lists this ribosomal RNA (448 nucleotides) under uncultured bacterium. RNAcentral's name for it is "bacterial SSU rRNA". It matches the Rfam family "Bacterial small subunit ribosomal RNA", at positions 329 to 792 of the family's 1533-position model. The record is from RNAcentral.